RNAcentral lists this transfer RNA (72 nucleotides) under Camelus bactrianus (Bactrian camel). It matches the Rfam family "tRNA". Rfam says of the family: Transfer RNA (tRNA) molecules are approximately 80 nucleotides in length. RNAcentral also lists the same sequence under 2 other names. Lineage: Eukaryota; Metazoa; Chordata; Mammalia; Artiodactyla; Camelidae. The record is from Rfam by way of RNAcentral.
GCAGGCAUAGCUCCGUGGUAGAGCGCAUGCUUAGCAUGCACAAGGUCCUGGGUUCAAUCCCCAGUGCCUCCA